Molecule: ribosomal RNA, 1686 nt
Filed under: Triticum aestivum (bread wheat)
Lineage: Eukaryota; Viridiplantae; Streptophyta; Magnoliopsida; Poales; Poaceae
Description: partial small subunit ribosomal RNA
Source: RNAcentral
AUGGUCCGGAACUGCUGGUGGGGUGCAUCGGAAGGGAAGAGGAAGACACAUUGGCUAGCAUGGCCAAAGAUCUUGGCGCACAAAACUCAGGGCGGGCUGGGUUUCCGCGAUUUUCGCGCCUUCAACCAGGCCCUCCUUGCCCGGCAGGCGUGGCGCUUACUAAUUAAUCCUCACAGCUUAUGUGCGCAGGUGCUCAAGGCGAGGUAUUACCCCGAGGGCCGCCUCGAGGAUACAGUCUUCUCCGGCAACGCCUCCCCUACGUGGCAGGCCAUUCAAUAUGGCCUCAAGCUUCUCAAGAAGGGCCUCGUUUGGCGUGUAGGGGAUGGCCGAAACAUCCGGAUUUGGCGAGAUCGUUGGAUCCCCCGCGAGCCUUCACGCCAACUUAUUACCCAACAGGGUACCUGCCGACUACGACGAGUGGUCGAGCUCCUGCACGAGGACGGGGCAUGGCAUCUUGACCUGCUCCAUCGCUACUUCCACCCGGCAGACGUGGAGGUGAUCUCCAGCAUACGUACUUCGACCCGCGUUACCGACGACAUCAUCGCAUGGGCUCCGGAGAAGAACGGUAUCUUCACCGUUCGAUCCGCUUACUGGUUCGCCAUGGACGAGCGCGAGCGUCCACUGGCCACCGCCACGAGCAGGGCACCGGAUGGUCAUCGCGCCUUCUGGAAGAUCAUAUGGGGGUGCCCUGCUCCCCCUAAGGUACGCGUGUUUGCUUGGAGGAUCGUUACGAACUCGCUUGCUACUUGGGCAAAUAAGCUCUCUCGCCAUCUUGAGGUUUCUGAUCUAUGCCCCUUGUGUGGACUGGAACGGGAGGAUAUGUUCCACGCUUUUUGCAGGUGUCCCUUGGCAAAGGAGCUGUGGCACGCCAUGGCCAUGGAUCGGUGUAUCCCCAAGGUGGAGGACAUCAUGAACACUGGUCCGGAAUGGCUCUUCACCCUGCUGGACCCCCUUGACGAGGCAACGAGGAUGAUCGUGCUUAUGAUCAUGUGGAGAACCUGGCACGUCCGGAAUGAGAUCACGCAUGACAAGAAGCCGCCCCCUGCUGAAGCCUCACAACGGUUCUUGCAUGGGUAUAUUACUUCGCUGCUCUGUAUCCAACAAUUCCCAAAUGCUGAUAUGGUCAAGGGGAAGAUGACGGUCUCCUUGCCACCGUUUGUCACUCGUCCUCCUAAGGUGGCUAAGGAGGAGAGAUCAUGGACCGCGCCAGCAUCGGGCUGCACUAAGCUGAAUACCGACGAAAGUUUUGUUGCAGCGACGGGAGCGGCAGGAGGAGGGAUGAUUUUGCGCGAUGAUCGAGGAGAAAUCAUCUAUACUGCAUGUAGAGAGUUGCGCACAUGCGAUAAUGCCCUGGGAGCGGAGCUUGCGGCAUGCAAGGAGGGCCUUGAGUUGGCUCUGCAUAGGACCGGUUUGCCUAUCACGGUCGAGCUUGAUUGCGCGGAGGCUGUGGCAAUGAUCACAGCAAAUGUGGAGGAUCGUUCGGUGUACCGCACCCUCAUUCAGGAGAUUAGAGAUAUAGCGGCUGCCGCUGGAAGGGAGAUCUCAUUUACUCUUUGUUGUCGUUCAGAAAAUAAAUGUAGUCAUGAAUUUGCCUCUUACGGGCGAAGGAUCCCCCGGACCGCUGUGUGGUUCCACUCGGGGAUUGAGUCCGUUGUACGUCUGGCCUCCGCUGAGAGGCCACCUUGA